This 548-nucleotide ribosomal RNA is filed under the name uncultured Glomus. Its description in RNAcentral is "SSU rRNA". It matches the Rfam family "Eukaryotic small subunit ribosomal RNA", at positions 548 to 1098 of the family's 1831-position model. The record is from RNAcentral. RNAcentral also lists the same sequence under 1 other name. Lineage: Eukaryota; Fungi; Glomeromycota; Glomeromycetes; Glomerales; Glomeraceae.
UUGGAGGGCAAGUCUGGUGCCAGCAGCCGCGGUAAUUCCAGCUCCAAUAGCGUAUAUUAAAGUUGUUGCAGUUAAAAAGCUCGUAGUUGAAUUUCGAGACCGGCUUACUGGUCGUGCUUUUGUACGUACUGGUAUAAUCGGUUUCUCCUUUCUGACGAACUUUAAUGCCAUUAAUUUGGUGUUUUAGGGAAUCAGGACUGUUACUUUGAAAAAAUUAGAGUGUUUAAAGCAGGCUCACGCUUGAAUACAUUAGCAUGGAAUAACGGAAUAGGACGUUUGAUUCUAUUUUGUUGGUUUCUAGGAUCGACGUAAUGAUUAAUAGGGAUAGUUGGGGGCAUUAGUAUUCAAUUGUCAGAGGUGAAAUUCUUGGAUUUAUUGAAGACUAACUACUGCGAAAGCAUUUGCCAAGGAUGUUUUCAUUAAUCAAGAACGAAAGUUAGGGGAUCGAAGACGAUCAGAUACCGUCGUAGUCUUAACCAUAAACUAUGCCGACUAGGGAUCGGAUGAUGUUAAUUUUUUAAUGACUCAUUCGGCGCCUUACGGGAAAC